CAAUGGUCUCUUGCUCCCAGGAGGCCCUGAGGUGUCACAAUGCCCCCUUGGUGACACGAGGCCCUGAAGGGUCCUCAUGGUCUCCAUGGUUCCAUCAGGCCCCACAGAGUCAUGAUGGUCUCUGGGUCCAUGAAGCCCCGCUGUGUCACCAUGGCCCCUUGGUUCCAUGGGCUCCAGUGGUGCCACAAUGAUCCCCUUGGUUCCAUGAGGUCCCCACAGUGUCACAGGGAUCUCCAUGGGAAGGAAAGAACCGAGCCCCAGUGUGGCAGGGGCAGCCACCAGAUGCCAAGGCCAGCCAGACUUGACGGAAGGAAAACUCUGAGCCCAAGUGUUUCAGGAGCAGAAGAGGAGAGAGGUGGCUCCUGGGAGGCCAAGCCAACCCGACUGGUUUGUCCUGGCAGCUUUUGUCAUGAAGGAAUCCUUGGAUACAUUGAAUGUGGGAGGAGGAAUCUCAGUUUUUACCACGGACCCCUUGAGAAGAAAGAAGGUUCUCUUCCAUUGGAAGGAAAGCACCGAGCCCCAGUGUUUGGAUAGCAGGUGAGAGGCAGCUCUCAAGAGGCCAAGGGCAGCCAGACCUGUCUGUCCUGGCUGCUUUCACUUGGGAGCAAUCCUUGGAUGUACGGAGUUUCGGAGGUGGAAUCCCAGUUUUGGCCAUGGGCACCUGGACAGGAAGAUGAGUUCUUUUCAUUAGGAAGGAAAGCAGAGAGCCCCAGUGUUUCAGAGACACAUGAGUGCCAGCCCUCAGGACCCAAGGCCAGCCAGACUUGUCAGUCCUGGCAGCUUUUGUCUGGGAGCUAUCCUUGGAUAUAGGGAAUUCUGGAGGCAGAUGCCCAAUUUUGGCCAUGGGUGCCUGGCGGAGAUGGAUGGUUUUUCCCACAAGAUAUAAAAGCACAUGGUCCCAGCGUUUAAAGGCAUAUGAGAGGUGGCCCCUGGGUGGCCAAGGCAGCCAGAUCUGUCUCUCCAGGCAGAUUUCAUCUGGGAACAAUCCUUGUAUACAAGGAAACUUGGAGAAGGAAUCCCACUUUUGGCCAUAGACCCCUGGAGAAGGACAGUUCUCUCCCAUAGGAAGGGAAGCCCAGAGCCCCAGUGCUUCAGGGGCAGGUGAGAAGCAGCCCUCGACAUGCCAAGUUCAGCUGGACCUGUCAGGUGGUCCCCAGGAGCCCCAGCCAGCCAGACCUGUUCCAUGUUCCCUUGGUUUCGUGGGACCCCACAGUGUCACAAUGGUCUCCUUGGUUCCAUGAGGCCCUGGAGUGUCACAAUGUCCCCCUUGCUUCUGCAGUGUCACAAUGGCCCCGUGCUUCCAUGGGGCCCUGCAAUGUCACAAUGGCUUUGUGGUUCCACAGAGCCCUGAUGUGUCACAAUGGCCCCUCGGCUCCAUGCACCCUCGCUGUGACACAACAGCUUCUCUGUGACACUGCGGGCUCCACAAGGUCACCACGAACCCUUGGCUCCUUGGGGCCCCCGAGUUUCACAAUGUCUCCUUGAUUCCAUGAGGCAGCACGGUGUCGCAAUGGCCCCUUGGCUCCAUGAGGUUCCGUAGUGUCACCAUGGUGUCCUUGGACCCGCAUUGUCACAACUGACCUGUGGUAAUCACAUAUCCUCUGAACAGAGAGAGAGAGAGCUCUCCCAGGAUUUUUCUGGGAAGCUGUGAGAAAGCUCAGAGAAAAGAAUGAGAAACAAUUCUUAUCUUCACUUGCUGCACCUGUUGUUGUGCACAUGUGGAAUGUGUUAUGGAGAUUUGUUUACCAAAGGGUGAUUUCUUAAUUGGCCAAUGGUGACGGUGUUUGGAUUUCAA
Vidua chalybeata is the source of this 1795-nucleotide long non-coding RNA. RefSeq lists it as uncharacterized. The transcript is spliced from 2 exons. Lineage: Eukaryota; Metazoa; Chordata; Aves; Passeriformes; Viduidae. The record is from RefSeq and is a predicted model, not a curated record.